AAGAGAAUUAGCUUCUAUUUUCUGAUUCUUCUAUUCCUACACUUUCUGUAUCCAUCAAACGGCUACUUAUGUCAUGUUAAUCUAAUCAUUUGAGGAACUAUCGAAUGAUCGAUCUAGCCAGUAAAGAUUGAAAUUCCAUGAAUUGCAUCGAAGAAUUGCGUUUCUUUGCACUUUCUCAAGACACCGUAGGCGAAGAAAAAUUGCGGCAAGACCAAUUUUUUACAAAACGACCUUUCUAUCAACACAAGAUCGAAGAUUAGAUUCUUAACCAUCUAACGUCAUUACGUAACCCUUAAACAAAGAAUCUUAGGAUGGUCAUAGUUGACGUUAUGCAUGGUGAUUUUGCGGUUGAUGGAAGAUCUUGAAUUGGUGGAACGAAGUAAUGUGAUCGGAAAGAUUGAAAGCUGGAGGAUGGAAAAGGACCACAAAAUGACCUGAAAAAGAUCGAUAGAAGGUUAGUGAAAGAAAGAGAAAGAAAACUAAAGUUAGAAAGGUAUACGAUAGGAUCUACGAGGGCUUCUGUCUUCAGCGUGACUGACAUGCCCAAAAAAAGUCAUAGCUGGAGGCAACCGGAAAAUUUGAGUAGAUGAAAGUCGAAUGCGAGAGGACAGGUCAGGUGGACACGUUAUCUUAUAUCUGGUCAAUCGUCCGUGGCAGGUGGUAACAAGAAAUUCAGGGAUACGUUUGCCGCGUAAUUAUUCGCCGCGGUAGAUGUCAGAUAAGCUUCGCAAGCGAAUUAUUAAUGAAACUGCCGAAUCAAGAGAAAUCGGUCGGAAAAAGAGGGAGCUGUUGGAAACUUGUUAUAUCAUCGCGCUUCCUUGACCCUGGAGCCGAAACUCGUCUCGAUAUAUACUCGCAUACAUCACUUUUGAACUGAUUUGCGUGUCCAGUUUACGAAUCGAUGAAUUGAAUCUAUAAAAAUUUCUGCAAUUUGAGUAAAUGCUAUAAUAUUUCUCAAUCUAAAUAUUUAUCAAAUUGUGUUCUAUUAUUUUGUGAAAAAUUAUUAAAAUU
Apis dorsata (giant honeybee) is the source of this 1011-nucleotide long non-coding RNA. RefSeq lists it as uncharacterized. Lineage: Eukaryota; Metazoa; Arthropoda; Insecta; Hymenoptera; Apidae. The record is from RefSeq and is a predicted model, not a curated record. The transcript has 3 exons.